This 253-nucleotide ribosomal RNA is filed under the name uncultured bacterium. RNAcentral describes it as "partial 16S ribosomal RNA". It matches the Rfam family "Bacterial small subunit ribosomal RNA", at positions 524 to 776 of the family's 1533-position model. The record is from RNAcentral.
UACGUAGGGUGCGAGCGUUAAUCGGAAUUACUGGGCGUAAAGCGUGCGCAGGCGGCUUCGCAAGUCAGACGUGAAAUCCCCGGGCUUAACCUGGGAAUGGCGUUUGAAACUACGGAGCUGGAGUGUGGCAGAGGGAGGUAGAAUUCCACGUGUAGCGGUGAAAUGCGUAGAUAUGUGGAGGAAUACCGAUGGCGAAGACAGCCUCCUGGGCCAACACUGACGCUCAUGCACGAAAGCGUGGGGAGCAAACAGG